RNAcentral lists this ribosomal RNA (664 nucleotides) under Microbacterium hominis. Its description in RNAcentral is "bacterial SSU rRNA". It matches the Rfam family "Bacterial small subunit ribosomal RNA", at positions 155 to 833 of the family's 1533-position model. Lineage: Bacteria; Bacillati; Actinomycetota; Actinomycetes; Micrococcales; Microbacteriaceae. The record is from RNAcentral.
AACGGCGUCUAAUACUGGAUAUGAGCCUCUAUCGCAUGGUGGGGGUUGGAAAGAUUUUUUGGUCUGGGAUGGGCUCGCGGCCUAUCAGCUUGUUGGUGAGGUAAUGGCUCACCAAGGCGUCGACGGGUAGCCGGCCUGAGAGGGUGACCGGCCACACUGGGACUGAGACACGGCCCAGACUCCUACGGGAGGCAGCAGUGGGGAAUAUUGCACAAUGGGCGGAAGCCUGAUGCAGCAACGCCGCGUGAGGGAUGACGGCCUUCGGGUUGUAAACCUCUUUUAGCAGGGAAGAAGCGAGAGUGACGGUACCUGCAGAAAAAGCGCCGGCUAACUACGUGCCAGCAGCCGCGGUAAUACGUAGGGCGCAAGCGUUAUCCGGAAUUAUUGGGCGUAAAGAGCUCGUAGGCGGUUUGUCGCGUCUGCUGUGAAAUCCCGAGGCUCAACCUCGGGCCUGCAGUGGGUACGGGCAGACUAGAGUGCGGUAGGGGAGAUUGGAAUUCCUGGUGUAGCGGUGGAAUGCGCAGAUAUCAGGAGGAACACCGAUGGCGAAGGCAGAUCUCUGGGCCGUAACUGACGCUGAGGAGCGAAAGGGUGGGGAGCAAACAGGCUUAGAUACCCUGGUAGUCCACCCCGUAAACGUUGGGAACUAGUUGUGGGGACCAUU